This 253-nucleotide ribosomal RNA is filed under the name uncultured bacterium. RNAcentral describes it as "partial 16S ribosomal RNA". It matches the Rfam family "Bacterial small subunit ribosomal RNA", at positions 524 to 776 of the family's 1533-position model. The record is from RNAcentral.
UACGUAGGGUGCAAGCGUUAAUCGGAAUUACUGGGCGUAAAGCGUGCGCAGGCGGUUAUGUAAGACAGGUGUGAAAUCCCAGGGCUUAACCUUGGAACUGCAUUUGUGACUGCAUAGCUAGAGUACGGUAGAGGGGGAUGGAAUUCCGCGUGUAGCAGUGAAAUGCGUAGAUAUGCGGAGGAACACCGAUGGCGAAGGCAAUCCCCUGGACCUGUACUGACGCUGAGGAGCGAAAGCGUGGGGAGCGAACAGG